UGCAGGCGGCUCGCUCUGCAGGAGCCCUGGCUCCCUCACUGCUACCUGAACACUUGAAGGAGCUAAAAUCCUAGGUUCUCAGAUCAAGGCAAAGGGUUCAAUAUGGCUUGGGAGAAAAGAGAAACUGUUUUGCGUUGUGGCUGGAAAACUCCUCUGAGUCAGGGGAUCGGGGUUGCUGGUUCCCAGAGUCUGAGUUUCUUUAUGAGAAAGCUGCUGAGAGCGGUGACAAGCUGGUAUCAUGAGUCUGUUCUUAUGUCAAAUCUCCUGCAGCAGGAUGUCUGUGCUGAAGAUGACUGCACACACAACCCAGAGGAUUAAAAAAUACACAUUACAAUCUGAGAAAAGAUGACCUCUCUUCUCUGUGCUCUUAGGAAGAGCAGAAAUGUCAUGUUCAACA
Molecule: long non-coding RNA, 397 nt
Organism: Bubalus bubalis (water buffalo)
Lineage: Eukaryota; Metazoa; Chordata; Mammalia; Artiodactyla; Bovidae
Exons: 2
Source: RefSeq, a predicted model, not a curated record